GGCCGGGGGCCGGGGUGGAGGAAGCUGUGUCGGGGAACACGCCUGCCCCUCUGCCCCAGGAUUCGGGGUAGCGGUCGUGCAGUUGGACUGACCCGGGGCCUCCAAGGGCACCCCGUCUGUCCCCGGGGUGCCUCCGCCGCCUCCCACCUGCCCGGCCCGCGGGUUAGCCCCACUGGCCUCCUGCAUCUAUCUCCCUGCUCUCUGGCCUCCACUGCCUGGUGGUCCGGCCACCGGGAGACGCCCACAACCGCUUUCCAACCACCGCCUGCCCGGGCGGGGGCGGCGGGGGCCGGCGGGGGCCGGCGCUCUGCUCUCAUCCCCGCCCAAGACCACCACCCACGUGCAGCUCCAUCGCUGGCGGUUGCCGGGCCGACGGCCGGCCGAGAGAAGGCACCGGGGGCUCCAGCAAGUGACCCCCGACUCAGAGAGAGACAGGUCUCAAUUUUGGGAGAAAGAAGCGGCCACUGCCUGCUGAUGCCAAGAAAUUGGGAAGAAAAGAAGCAAGGACUCUAGUGUCGCACAACCGGGAUGGUUUAAUGAUCUGGCUUUUAGAACCACACAACUGGGAUCUACUUGCAAUCUCAAGGAACUGCAGGGAGCUGGACUCCGCUUCAGCCAAAGCCAACUUUUCAUCCUCUCAGAUGUCCUUCUUAGCUCGGGAGUCAGGACAGGAAGACCAUGGAGGGGAAACUCAGUUGGCUCAGACUUUCUUCCAGAACGCUUUUAGAAGAACAAAAUCCUGCCUUGUCCCUAGUCUCUGCCUAUGUACCUGUUAUUCAUCUACUUGUUUAUGCACACACGUGUUCAUUCAUCAAACAUAUGUUGACAACUGUCAUGUGCCGGGCACCCUGCAAGGACCUGCAAAUAAAAUGAUGAGCAGAAAACAGAUACAGUUAUCAUAUUUAUUCAGUUCAUAAACCGCUUUCUGUAAGUCCUGACGACGAGAACUGUGUGAUCCAGUUGUGCUCUCUGGGAGAAUUUCCAGUACAAAGGGGGCUCCCUGGUCCCUGAUUCUUUCUCCUGCUGUUUACAAAGCUAGGGAGGCUAGAGAGCUAUGCCAUCCACUUGCCCUGUAUUGGCUGAAGGGAAUUGGCUUGGGGGUCAUCCAAACCUGUUGUGCUGCCGGGUUUUCAGACUCAGGAGAGCAGAGCAGGGCCUUUGGCUGCAUAGAGUCAAGCUCCCCAAAGUGCUGCAGUUACCUUGGUGCUUGGCCACAAAUCAUUCAAUAGGAACUGCCAGCCCAUGACUCUACCCGAUGUUUCUAGUGUCAUGAGUUAGACUUUCUGCUCUCAGGUUGAAGCUUGGUGGUUCACAGUACACCCAGAUUGCUGUCCUUUGAGCCACAAAGCUUCCUUCCUUUGCCCCCAGAACUCCCGUGUUCUCCAUUCUUUCAUGAGCUCCUUAUCUCCUUUCUGAAUAAUUUCUGGUAUGCGUGAGGCUCCUUGGGCAGUUUCUUUCUGUCUGUCUUUUUAUUUUCCUUUUUUUUUAAUCUUAAGCAGCCUCCAUGCCCAGCGUGGAGCCCAACAAUGCGGAGCUCCAACUCAUGACCCUGAGAUCAUGAUCUGAGCUGAAAUCAUGAGUCAGAUGCUCAACCAAAUAAGCUUGAACAGUUUCUUCUUGGUCAAAAGACUUUUGUUGCUCGCUUCGGCAGCACCUAUACUAAAACUGCUCAAAAGACUUUUGAGUAAGGAAUGCCUGGGUGACUCAGUGAUUGAAUGUCUGCCUUCAGCUUGGGGUGGGAUCCUGGGAGUUCCAGAAUCGAGUUCUGCAUCGGGCCUCCCGCAUGGAGCCU
Long non-coding RNA from Vulpes vulpes (red fox), 1792 nucleotides. NCBI's taxonomy places the organism in Eukaryota, Metazoa, Chordata, Mammalia, Carnivora, Canidae. The record is from Ensembl.